GACGAACGCUGGCGGCGUGCCUAAUACAUGCAAGUAGAACGCUGAAGGAGGAGCUUGCUCUUCUGGAUGAGUUGCGAACGGGUGAGUAACGCGUAGGUAACCUGCCUGGUAGCGGGGGAUAACUAUUGGAAACGAUAGCUAAUACCGCAUAAGAGUAGAUGUUGCAUGACAUUUGCUUAAAAGGUGCAAUUGCAUCACUACCAGAUGGACCUGCGUUGUAUUAGCUAGUUGGUGGGGUAACGGCUCACCAAGGCGACGAUACAUAGCCGACCUGAGAGGGUGAUCGGCCACACUGGGACUGAGACACGGCCCAGACUCCUACGGGAGGCAGCAGUAGGGAAUCUUCGGCAAUGGACGGAAGUCUGACCGAGCAACGCCGCGUGUGUGAAGAAGGUUUUCGGAUCGUAAAGCUCUGUUGUAAGAGAAGAACGAGUGUGAGAGUGGAAAGUUCACACUGUGACGGUAUCUUACCAGAAAGGGACGGCUAACUACGUG
Molecule: ribosomal RNA, 495 nt
Filed under: uncultured bacterium
Lineage: Bacteria
Description: partial 16S ribosomal RNA
Rfam family: Bacterial small subunit ribosomal RNA
Source: RNAcentral